GUACACUCCUACGGGAGGCAGCAGUGGGGAAUUUUGGACAAUGGGCGAAAGCCUGAUCCAGCAAUGCCGCGUGAGUGAAGAAGGCCUUCGGGUUGUAAAGCUCUUUUGUCAGGGAAGAAACGGUGAAAGCUAAUAUCUUUUGCUAAUGACGGUACCUGAAGAAUAAGCACCGGCUAACUACGUGCCAGCAGCCGCGGUAAUACGUAGGGUGCAAGCGUUAAUCGGAAUUACUGGGCGUAAAGCGUGCGCAGGCGGUUUUGUAAGUCUGAUGUGAAAUCCCCGGGCUCAACCUGGGAAUUGCAUUGGAGACUGCAAGGCUAGAAUCUGGCAGAGGGGGGUAGAAUUCCACGUGUAGCAGUGAAAUGCGUAGAUAUGUGGAGGAACACCGAUGGCGAAGGCAGCCCCCUGGGUCAAGAUUGACGCUCAUGCACGAAAGCGUGGGGAGCAAACAGGAUUAGAUACCCCUGUAGUCCCAUGA
Molecule: ribosomal RNA, 478 nt
Filed under: uncultured organism
Description: partial 16S ribosomal RNA
Rfam family: Bacterial small subunit ribosomal RNA
Source: RNAcentral